Molecule: ribosomal RNA, 336 nt
Filed under: uncultured Bacillota bacterium
Lineage: Bacteria; Bacillati; Bacillota
Description: bacterial SSU rRNA
Rfam family: Bacterial small subunit ribosomal RNA
Source: RNAcentral
GACGAACGCUGGCGGCGUGCCUAACACAUGCAAGUCGAACGGAGAUUACAGCAAUGUAAUCUUAGUGGCGAACGGGUGAGUAACGCGUAGACAACCUGCCUUCUAGCUGGGGACAACACCGCGAAAGUGGUGCUAAUACCGAAUGUUGUAUUUUGAACACAUGUUUGAGAUACUAAAGGUGGCCUCUAUUUAUAAGCUAUCACUAGAAGAUGGGUCUGCGUCUGAUUAGCUAGUUGGUGAGGUAAUGGCUCACCAAGGCGACGAUCAGUAGCCGGUCUGAGAGGAUGAACGGCCACACUGGGACUGAGACACGGCCCAGACUCCUACGGGUGGCAG